AGCUUUGCACAGUGGCAAUAUCAUAGCCAACGAGGUUUAUCUGAGGCAUAAUUAUUGUUAGUUGAAAACUUUCCCUAUAAAUCCUGAGGCUGAUUUUGGCAGUCAGUCUAGACACUCCGGGACUGGA
Molecule: small nuclear RNA, 127 nt
Filed under: Cavia aperea (Brazilian guinea pig)
Lineage: Eukaryota; Metazoa; Chordata; Mammalia; Rodentia; Caviidae
Description: U4 spliceosomal RNA (ENSCAPG00000000859.1)
Rfam family: U4 spliceosomal RNA
About the family: U4 small nuclear RNA (U4 snRNA) is a component of the major U2-dependent spliceosome. The structure of U4 snRNA from yeast and human has been reported.
Source: RNAcentral